Molecule: transfer RNA, 72 nt
Filed under: Cupriavidus alkaliphilus
Lineage: Bacteria; Pseudomonadati; Pseudomonadota; Betaproteobacteria; Burkholderiales; Burkholderiaceae
Description: tRNA-Met
Rfam family: tRNA
About the family: Transfer RNA (tRNA) molecules are approximately 80 nucleotides in length. Their secondary structure includes four short double-helical elements and three loops (D, anti-codon, and T loops).
Source: RNAcentral
UGCGGUAUGGCGCAACGGUAGCGCGGCGGGUUCAUACCCCGCAGGUUCCGUGUUCAAUUCACGGUGCCGCAA